AAACGCUUGAAGUCAGUCGCGUUGUCUGAGACUCAGCCUUGCUUGCUUGGUGUACUUCUCAGUUAACGGGUCAACAUCAAUUUUGGUUGGUGGACAAAGGUUGAAGGAAUGUGGCAUCUUCGGAUGUGUUAUAGCCUUCUUCCGUAUACACUGGCUGGGAUUGAGGUCUGCAGCACGCCUUUAUGGCCGGGGUUCGCCCACGUUACGUGCUUAGGAUGUUGGCAUAAUGGCUUUAAGCGA
This 240-nucleotide ribosomal RNA is filed under the name Corticiaceae sp. RNAcentral's name for it is "partial large subunit ribosomal RNA". Lineage: Eukaryota; Fungi; Basidiomycota; Agaricomycetes; Corticiales; Corticiaceae. The record is from RNAcentral.